CGAGCUCUCGCGCACUUUCUUCUUAGCAUUGUGUGUGUACGUUCGCUCAGCUGUUCUGGUCAGAAGCGAUCGUGGCUCAUCCGAUUGCACAAAUUUUUGAAGCUUUGGAGUUUAUUUUUAGUAGCAGUGCCAUGUCGUUUUGGUACAAUCCUCGUGGAUUUUUGCUGCGUAAGAGCACGUUGUUCGUUCUCUGAUCUAUUCGAUAUGAAAAAACGUUUUCUUCAUUGAUUGACAGACUUCGUUCACGAGUUACCACGGUUAUCAGAAAUUUGACAUUAAUCCGGGAUCGAUGUGCUCCGCAAAUUGACGUUUAAUUUUGACCGUAAUAGUUAAGGAUUAACCAUGAAGAAGACACGUUCAAAUAUAUUUCGUGACAUUUAUUAUCAGCCCUACAAUGAUUACACCAGGAUGAAGCUUUAUUCCAGCAGCAAAGCAAGUCUUCAAAUGAUGCAACGUAUGGCAUUGUUGAAGAGAUUAAAAGUUCACAAUGGUUGUGUAAACUCUGUUUGUUGGAAUGCUACUGGAGAAUUGAUAUUGUCUGGUAGUGAUGACCAGCAUCUUGUCCUUACGAAUGCUUAUAAUUAUGAAGUAUUAACAGACUAUAAGACCAGUCAUAGAGCAAAUAUAUUUAGUGCAAAGUUUUUGCCUAAUAGUGGUGAUCAUCGGAUAGUUUCUUGUAGUGGUGAUGGCAUUAUUUUGUAUACAGAUUUAAUAAGAAGAACAAAAACAUUUCAUAAUCAAUUUAAUUGUCAUGUCGGUACUACAUAUGAAAUAGCGACAAUACCCGGUGAGCCGCAUAAUUUUUUAAGCUGUGGGGAAGAUGGAACUGUGAGAUGGUUUGAUCUUAGAAUAAAGGACAAGUGUAAUACUUCAAGGUGCACGGAGGAUGUGUUAGUUUCUUGUGAAAGAGCUAUAACUGCUUUGUCUGUAAAUCUUGCUUCACCCCAUCAAAUAGCGAUAGGUUGUUCUGACAGUACAGUUAGAAUACUUGACAGAAGAACACUUGGAACACCAGCUACUGGCUGGACAGAUACGCCUGGAGCAGUAAAGGCCUUAUGUACUUUCACUGUCCCGGAAUUUGAAGGGAAUUCUUACAGAAUAACAUCAUUGAAUUAUAGUCCAGAUGGGCAGGAUGUUCUUGUUAGUUAUAGCAGCGAUCAUCUUUACCUGUUCAAUGUGAAGGACCAAGCUAGUAUACAGUUAAAGAAAGAUGUCGCAGUUAGAAAAGGAGAGGGUAAGAAGCAAAGAUUACGUUCGCCAUUGCCAGUACGUAGACUAAGACUUAGAGGAGACUGGUCUGAUACCGGUCCCGAUGCUCGACCUGAAUGCGAGGGUGGUCGACGUAGCGGUACAGAAAUUGCUCAAGCCAGACCUGUUCUUCAAACUUCUUUAAUGCAGAGAAUGACUGAUGUUCUCAGUAGAAUGUUAAAUGACCCAGCCACUAGAGCCGCUUUAUGCGGCGGCGGCGAAGAUAGCUUAGAAGGCGUGAUUGAUCAUCAAGAUAACACUCAAAAUAGCAACGAAAGCGUUACGGAAUCAAACGAAGAGAGACGAGACAACGAAACCGAAAGGGUUGAAAGAGCUCCGACUCAGGCUAAUCAAGAAAUAGCUGUUUCAGAGCAACAACCAGAUAGAUUAGAAAGUCCAAGUACUAGCGGUACGCAAAGUAAUCCUGGGACAAGUUACUCUGUAGAAACGAAAGAAGAAAUGCCAUCCAAUGAAACAAUGCCUUUGAAGCAAACGAUCGAUGAGAGUUCAUCGUCGGUCGAAUCCAAAUCACAUGUUCCUAUGGAAAUUGAAUCUAGUCAAGUAGAAACACAACAGUGUUUUGCUCAACCGUGUUCAUCGCGUACUAUGGAUAAGUCCAGUGAUCUACCGGAAGAUGAUCAAAGUAGCAAUGACGACUCUCCUUGUAGCAGUAUGGAAAAUAAACAAGAAGGACAUAUGAUGGAAAACCUUCAAGAUAGAUUAACGAAAAUGAGAGUCGGAUUCCUUGAAAAACACGGCACUGAACCUGCUGUAAGUUUAACUUAUACGGAUAAAAGUUCAUCAAGUGCAACGAUAUCUCUUGGUGUAGCCGAUGAGAUGAUCCGUGAUGGUUAUCAUGCGGGACCAUCUGGAAGUAGUGGAACAUUCUCGGGCAGAAAUCAUGACAAACAUAUACGAUAUAGUGAUAUACAAGAAAAGACUGAUGAAAGCGCUUUUAGUGAUAGCGAGGAUGAAGAUAUACAAGCUGGAGGAAGAUUAGGAAGUUCAGCAGAUACAGAAAUGGAGGAAGCUAUGGGAGAUGCUCCAACGCGUCGAGGAUCGGCGAAUUUCGACAAAACGUGCGUAACGGAGCUUCGUGUCAAGCAGAAAUAUAUGGGACACCGUAACGCUAGUUUCUUUAGGACCAUGAUUAAAGAAGCAAACUUUUGGGGCAACGAUUUCGUCAUGUCGGGUAGCGAUUGUGGCCAUGUGUUCAUAUGGGAGAAAGACACGGCCAGGUUAUGCAUGUUACUGGAAGCAGAUCAACAUGUCGUUAACUGUUUGCAACCACAUCCGUAUUUACCACUGCUGGCCACAGCUGGUAUUGAUUACGAUGUUAAGCUUUGGGCACCGAUAAGCGAAGAGUCCAGCUUUGAUGAAAAGUUUGCGGAAGAUUUGAAAAAGAGGAAUGCAGUCAUGUUGGAAGAGACGAAAGACACAAUGACUGUACCGGCUGUUUUUAUGAUCAGAAUGCUGGCAUGUCUCAAUCAGAUACGCAGAGGUAGUGAAAACUUAUAAUACUUUCCAAGCCUUCCGGUAGUACACUACAUUAGUAUGACCAACGUAAUUAAGAGUAACAUAGUGAAGAAAUUCGGCUGCUUUUUCCCCCGAUUAACGCGCAGGACGCGGUCGGAACAGGAGGAGGAGCGGCGACGAGGCCGGCGAAUUACGAGGUGGCUAAGCUGCUUUUGGCGAUACUGUCGUCUGUGAAGAUCUCAACUGAGACAAUUUUUAUCGCAACGCCAGCUGAUCAGAUUUCGAAUUUACUUUCGAAACAAAAAGAAAAAAAAAAAAGGAAAAAUUACAAAAAAAAAAAAAAAAAAAAAAAUAGUAAAAUAAGAAUCAGGAAGAGAAAAAGAAGGAUUCAUAUAUUUAUGAUUUUCCGUUGCAAUACUACUUCACUGUUAAUUGUAAGGAUAUUUAAUCUGAUAAGCUUUGCGUACGUAUCAUUAUUGCAUCGAGAAAGAUAAGUCGAAUUUUUUUUCUUUACCACUUUUAUUUUCUGUCGCUUCUUUUCUUCUGACUCUGUUUAUACCGCGUGUUUGGUGUAUCAAGCUUGUGCAAUGUAAUUGUUUUUCUCGUCUUUCGAAUUUAUAGAGUUAUUAUGUUUGGAGAGGAAAAUACGAUAAGGUCAAAUAUUUUCGAUAUUUUAUACAGAAUUUUGGUGUCAGGUUCGGAUCUAUAAUUGGAACUAUAAUAUAAUACAUGUUAUUUAGGAUGCAAGUAAAGUGCACUUGUUGAUUAACUAAUUAUCACACAUGUUUCUCGAUAAUGUUACGCUGUUGUAGUUAACUGAUAAUUGAUCGGAAAUGCACUUUAUUCGUCCUCCCGUUAAACGACCCUUAGGGUGCACAAUAAGAUAAUAAAUAUAAUAUAAAUACUAGGGUUCCAUUUAAGAACCUGAACCUUGACAUUUUAUCUUCCUCGCCAAAUUAAACAACUUUAUAUCUCCGAACUUUUUAGAAACGGUUACGUAUUAUACGGUUAAAUUUAACGUUUUCGUGUAUUCUUUUCGUUAAUGUUCAAUUUAUAUGCAGUUCAAAGAUAAAAAAAUUCCACCGUGCCUAUUUCACGGUCACAUGUUUUCAUUUUCUUUUCUUUGUUUUCUUUUCCGUGUGAUGAAAUAACGAAAUUAACGAAGAUUGGCCGAUUUUUUGAGGUAACUUAUUGACACAUAGAGGAACAUAGGCAAUCGCUAAGUUUGUAGAUUCGUUCGCUCAGUUCGAUAAAGUAGGAAUGCUUGUGACGUAGAGACGCUUGCAGAGAGAUCGGAGAACGUUAAAGAAUGAUGUUCAGGCACUCGAAGGUUUCAUCAAGGGAGAGAAACGUCGUUGUAGGAUACCGUGGUGUACCGAUAUAUAUUCAGAGAAUUUAUUUAUAAUAAAAAUUCUGAAGAACGCAAACGCAUCUUCAUGUUCUUCUCCAUACACCUCCUCUUCCACGUGUUUCAAUAUUAUUUCAGUCGUUGAUGUCAUCGAAAAUACGUAUACAUAGAAGACUAACGACAAAGAAACGAAGGAGGGAGCAGGGGAUUUGAAACGUAAGCGGAGAAAAUAAAACGAAAUGCGAGGUUCAUUCAACAACAGAGUCUAAUUUAAUAACAAAAUAUGAACGCUGCAUUUGUAAUAAAAUUAACCGUAAUAUUAAUAAUCGUUAAAAUAAUAAUAAUAAUAAUAAUAAUAAUAAUAAAAUAAUAACUAUGGCGGCAUACAUAAUCGGUCGAGAUAACCAUAAUUAACAUAGGUAACGGAAUCCUAAUAUCGAAGAGGACGAAGCGUACGAGAUAUGUAGAUUCGCGUUACAAAUUACGAUCGCUAACGAAUCGACGGUUUUGGUUCACGAAAAAAGAAAAAUAUUUUACGACGUGUAAAAUGUGUGUCAGGACGUCGAACGUGUGAAACGAGAUCCCAGCAAAUAUCAGAAGUAAUUCGGUAACUGAAUACGUAAUCACUUACGUAAAAUAUAUUUAUACGUUUCAAGGAAACAAUUCGAUGACUUCGAUAAUAUUCAAAAUAAUUUUUUAACACGAUAGACGAAUUAUUGUUUCGUACAUAUGACGAAGAAGAGUAAUAUAUUGAAACAAAUAACGAUACGAAAAUGUUAUUUGAAAAUAUUUAACAGUCGGUUAAAGAUACUGUUUGCUGGGGUCUGUUCGAGCGUGAUCGACGAGAAAGGAGGAGGAGGGGAUAGGCAGGUAUUCGACCGAGGAACAACGAAUUGGAUGGAAAAAGAAAGGAACAUAAAACGCGAUGUUCACUGACGAUUACCUUAUCUGCCGCUCGUUUAUCGAACCGUCGUUUACCUAUCAGUCACCUAAAUUCGAACGUAUCUUUACAUAUGUAUUUGCGAGAGAGUUUAUCUUCUACUUGGUGAACCGUACGUCGACACGUGAUUAAUCACGAGAACUUGAUGGGAUAUAUUCAGUCGUAUAAUUGUAAUCAAUGAAAACGUUAUAGAACAUUUGUAAAAAUAGACAUGGUAAAAACAAAUAAUUAUAAUUGAAGGAUAGUCUCAGUUAAACAAGAUAAAUCAGAAAACAAUGAUUAUACCUUUUAGAUAAUUAAACGAUAUAGGAAUAAGUAUUUGAUGAAUAAUCGUAGUUAACUAGGAGAUUAGUAAUAUUUGUUAUCCAGACAAUUGGAUGACAUAGGAACAAAUAUUUGGAACAAAGUAAUCACAAGUAACGGUAAUAAUAAAAAAAAAAAAAAAAAAAAACAACAAAACGAAAUUAGUAACAAAAUGUGCGGUUCCGUAAGAACAGCUAAACGAUAAAUAGCUAAAACCGAAGAUGAUUAAAUGGAAGCUAAGAAUGUGAGAACGAGCGACAGACGAGGAAGAACGUGGUACGAUGCAGAACCGGAAGUGUAUAACGGGAACGGGUGUGUAUUUCCUUGUUUUAUUUCUCUGAACAUUAGGACAAAAUUGUAAUCAAUCGCUUAUCCGUUUACCGUAAAUCCAAUAAUGUCUGUAAUAAUGAAUUAGCGUUAUAUUAAAUGUACCGAUGAGAGAUUUUUUUUUCUUUUAAUAAUUCACACAUUUUUCUCUAUUCGACGCUCUCACUCCAUUCUCUCAUUCUCACACUCGCUCUAUCGUAUAUUCUCACGCAUUCUCACGCUGAUUUUCGUUCUUUCUUCCCUUUCCAGUUGGCGAUUCCACCAACAUGGGCGAGAUCGAUCGACGUUUCGUCCACAAAUGGAUCAAGGUUCGAGCUAAUCGUUAGAUCUACCAAAAGCCGGGCUUCGUAGAAACGCUCUUUCCCUUCGAAACGUUGAUUCGAUGCUUUCAAAUACGCGACACCGGAUAGAAUAGAGAAAACGGAAGCAGAAAACUUGAUCUACAAUCCUGCCGCGUCGGAUCCAUCGUCUAUCGAUCAUCGAUCGUCGUGUGACUUAACGAUUUCCACUUUAAAAAGCUUUGUGACGCUAAUAGAUCACGCUUUGUUAAUAGAACUAAGAGAUUAGAUUACUCUUAAUAUAAUUAGAUUACCGUGUAAUGCUUUUUUAUCGAUAAUAAUCUAUUGGAAGCUAAACUCGAUAUCGAAGCGGAUUAUAAAUCAGUCGUAAUCAAAGUGGGGAAAUCCUAGUCUAGAUAUUUCGAACGUUUUCAAGUCCUUCAAGUGGAAUUAUAGAAUUUACGCGGCGGUAGAUUACAAUAGAAAGCUACAUAUUACAAUUUAGGCGAAGAGAAAUGGAGAAUACCGAGAAGAUCGAUGAUCGAAACAUGAAUACUUCGAUCUGUACGCGAAAGAAUCGAGAAUUGUAGAAUUUUAGAAACUUCUUUCCCAGCGCAAAAAUUCGCUACUUUCCAGAUUCUAUGGAAUUUAUUUCUUUGAAGUUUUUAUUUAGAAAAUAGCGUAUUUCACGGGAAAUUAAUUUUCUCUAUCUGGUGUCCGUGAAUUUUCUUUCGUUUCGUUCUGUUUUCUCUCUCACUUUCUUACUCUUUUCUCUCCUCAUCGCAACGCUCAAGAAGUAAAAACACGAAUGUCGCGCGGAAUUCGCCAUCGUAGAUUGAAUAAUUCCUCUAAAAUGCGCGUGACGGUAAUCAUAGUAACAAUAACAAUGACAAUAUAAUAAUGAUGACAGUAAUAAUAAUGACAAUAAUAUCAAUAAGAAUAGUAGUGAACGUUUACAAUCUAUUACAUAUCAUAAUCUUUUUUUUUUUGUUCACAUUUUUCGUGAAUUUUUUUUUAUAUAAUUUUUUCGUUUUAGUCGGAGGGGACGUCGCUCAAGAUUUUAUUCGAGGCACAGUUGGAUCGCACGUCCGCUAAUAGAAUUCGUAUCUCUCUGCAUUUUUUUUUUUUUGGUUUUUUUCACUAGAUUUUCUUCGACGCAUCGUCCGCCAAUCGCGAAAUCGAAUGGAGGACUUCAUCGAACUCGUUUUGUAUUUUCUCUCCCGUGUAUGUGUGUAUCCGUGUGUGUGUUUCCUCUUUUUACCAUUUUCCAUCAUUCUUUUUUUGUUAAUUUUUAUCUUGCCUUCUAUGUAUGUUCUUUGCAUUUUUGUUCGCUCCUUUUUUCACUUUUUUUUUUUAACUUGCUUUUCACGUAUCGCGUAUAUUUUUUUGUUUUGUCUUAUUACAUUUUUGUCUUCUGGUUCCUUUAAGCUCGAAAUGGUUUGUUCUUCGUUUUACUAUUUUAGUUUCUUUUUGAACAACGUUCAAACGUUCGACCGUUCGACGCGCACGCUCGAUGAUAAAAAGUAAAGAUUAAAAAAUCGCACUGUCACGUGUGCGAUUAAUCUAUGUUUUAUUUUUUUCUUUGGCGAGUGUGCAUCGAUCGUCGACUAAGCGUUCCUUUGUAAUAUGUUUCCUUUCUUUUUCCUCUCGAUGUUGAAGCGUAGAAGAUAUGUAAGUGUAUCGACGCUGUUUUGAAACGAGAUCGUCUCGACAAUUCGAAACUUGUUAUUUAUCUCAUUAUUAGCACUAUUAAUUAGAUUCCUCUUUUCUAAUUAUUCGAGAUAAUACGCGUCGAAACCGGUCGAAUUCUGGCUGUGAGAUAUAUCGUCGAUCCGAAUUAGUCGGAUCCGGAAAUGUCGUGCAAAAUCAACCGAGCUGUACCUCAAUUGGAUUAUUAUGAAUCACGCGUACGCAUGCACAAAUAGACGCACGCACACGCUAAAAAGUUACGAUAAUUAAUAAUUCUAUAUUGCGUAGGUUAGGGUCGCAAAAAGUUACGGAACGAUAAAAAACCCUUCGAAACGCGGACCUUCGAAGUAGCGUAGAGACGAAAAGAGAGGUCAAAAUAGCCGAAGACCGCGUCUUUACGUUGCUUUCUUCUCGCAGCCGUCGUCUUUUAGUUUGUUUCGUCGAUUGUUAGGAACCACGGUUCCGUUCUUACUUUCUUUUUCUUUUUUUUUUUUUUUUUUCGUAAAAUAA
This is an RNA transcript of Bombus huntii, 8119 nucleotides long. It is a transcript of the gene named DDB1- and CUL4-associated factor 6-like, with no coding region annotated. The record is from RefSeq and is a predicted model, not a curated record. NCBI's taxonomy places the organism in Eukaryota, Metazoa, Arthropoda, Insecta, Hymenoptera, Apidae. The transcript has 15 exons.